GCUACCACUAAAUCUGCUGUCCCUGUGGAAAUGGAAUCAGCUGAGAAGGCUUUAACUAUAUAAGCACACCUAUAUUAUUGAUGCAAAAGGAGUAAUGGAAAUUCAAACAAGAAGAUAAAACGACAGAUGGCAGAUCGAUGGCUAACUGAAGACACAGCACUAUGCAUAGAGAAGCCCAGAAAGCAGCUGCAGGGAGGAGGAUGUGGACGAGAAGCAGAAACACCAUGGUGCAAGGAAGAAGAGCAGAGAAGCAGAGACCGCCAAGGAUCCCAGCUCCAGUUUGCAUGGAAUUCUGCUGUGCUCGGGGAAGCAUGAAUUUGCACAUCCAUGUGGUGGCCUGAAUGCGGUGUCCUAGCUGAAGCACUGUGACAUUCCUGUCCGUCUGAAGCAGCUUUCUCUGUAAUGGGAAUUAGCUCCAUAAAACUUUCAUGGGACACCCAGUGGGAGCGAGGUGAGAGGGCUGGGGAACUGGAUUAGGGCACCCCUUCAUCAUGUGGAGCGCUCAAUGACCCCAAGGGCAUUUAUUAAUUUUUCUGCUGUCUGGAGAGAAAUAUCUAUCUGUAAAGAGUGGUGAACCUUAUCUGGCAAUUGCACCCUGCCUGGCAGCCUAGGGAGCUGCCCUCACCUAUUUGUAGAGAUGGUCUACCACGUGCAAGGGGAGUCCAUUAUUAUCAUUCAUGGCCUCAUUCAAAGUCCACAAAGUGCCUAGGAGAAAAACACAUCUGCUAAUAAAGUUUCGUUUUCUGAUUUGGGGAGAAAAAGAAUAAAGGUUUUAAGCAUAAUUGUGGAUUGUGUUUAAAAAGUUGGGUCAUUUCUGCUCAUUCUGUGUUUUGACUGACAGGGCUGCAUUUCUAAGACUUUGAAAGGAGAUACUUCUAGGCAAAAAAAAGAAAAAGGAGCUAACUGAGGCAGAAUUCUUCUUUGUUG
This 927-nucleotide long non-coding RNA is filed under the name Microcebus murinus (gray mouse lemur). Its description in RNAcentral is "lncRNA (ENSMICG00000048695.1)". Lineage: Eukaryota; Metazoa; Chordata; Mammalia; Primates; Cheirogaleidae. The record is from RNAcentral.